CGUUGAAACAACGGUUCUCGUACGAUCCCCGAAGUUAAGCAACGUUCAGCCGAGUCAGUACCUAGCUGGGUGAGCAUUUAGGAAUACCAGGGGCUGUAAG
Non-coding RNA from Acanthosepion pharaonis, 100 nucleotides. The record is from the annotation of a GenBank genome assembly. NCBI's taxonomy places the organism in Eukaryota, Metazoa, Mollusca, Cephalopoda, Sepiida, Sepiidae.